This 1394-nucleotide ribosomal RNA is filed under the name Lactiplantibacillus plantarum. RNAcentral's name for it is "partial 16S ribosomal RNA". Lineage: Bacteria; Bacillati; Bacillota; Bacilli; Lactobacillales; Lactobacillaceae. The record is from RNAcentral.
ACUUUGGGUGUUACAAACUCUCAUGGUGUGACGGGCGGUGUGUACAAGGCCCGGGAACGUAUUCACCGCGGCAUGCUGAUCCGCGAUUACUAGCGAUUCCGACUUCAUGUAGGCGAGUUGCAGCCUACAAUCCGAACUGAGAAUGGCUUUAAGAGAUUAGCUUACUCUCGCGAGUUCGCAACUCGUUGUACCAUCCAUUGUAGCACGUGUGUAGCCCAGGUCAUAAGGGGCAUGAUGAUUUGACGUCAUCCCCACCUUCCUCCGGUUUGUCACCGGCAGUCUCACCAGAGUGCCCAACUUAAUGCUGGCAACUGAUAAUAAGGGUUGCGCUCGUUGCGGGACUUAACCCAACAUCUCACGACACGAGCUGACGACAACCAUGCACCACCUGUAUCCAUGUCCCCGAAGGGAACGUCUAAUCUCUUAGAUUUGCAUAGUAUGUCAAGACCUGGUAAGGUUCUUCGCGUAGCUUCGAAUUAAACCACAUGCUCCACCGCUUGUGCGGGCCCCCGUCAAUUCCUUUGAGUUUCAGCCUUGCGGCCGUACUCCCCAGGCGGAAUGCUUAAUGCGUUAGCUGCAGCACUGAAGGGCGGAAACCCUCCAACACUUAGCAUUCAUCGUUUACGGUAUGGACUACCAGGGUAUCUAAUCCUGUUUGCUACCCAUACUUUCGAGCCUCAGCGUCAGUUACAGACCAGACAGCCGCCUUCGCCACUGGUGUUCUUCCAUAUAUCUACGCAUUUCACCGCUACACAUGGAGUUCCACUGUCCUCUUCUGCACUCAAGUUUCCCAGUUUCCGAUGCACUUCUUCGGUUGAGCCGAAGGCUUUCACAUCAGACUUAAAAAACCGCCUGCGCUCGCUUUACGCCCAAUAAAUCCGGACAACGCUUGCCACCUACGUAUUACCGCGGCUGCUGGCACGUAGUUAGCCGUGGCUUUCUGGUUAAAUACCGUCAAUACCUGAACAGUUACUCUCAGAUAUGUUCUUCUUUAACAACAGAGUUUUACGAGCCGAAACCCUUCUUCACUCACGCGGCGUUGCUCCAUCAGACUUUCGUCCAUUGUGGAAGAUUCCCUACUGCUGCCUCCCGUAGGAGUUUGGGCCGUGUCUCAGUCCCAAUGUGGCCGAUUACCCUCUCAGGUCGGCUACGUAUCAUUGCCAUGGUGAGCCGUUACCCCACCAUCUAGCUAAUACGCCGCGGGACCAUCCAAAAGUGAUAGCCGAAGCCAUCUUUCAAACUCGGACCAUGCGGUCCAAGUUGUUAUGCGGUAUUAGCAUCUGUUUCCAGGUGUUAUCCCCCGCUUCUGGGCAGGUUUCCCACGUGUUACUCACCAGUUCGCCACUCACUCAAAUGUAAAUCAUGAUGCAAGCACCAAUCAAUACCAGAGUUCG